UCAGUAGGUUAAAACUGUCGUGAAACAGGUUAGUUUUACCCUACUGAUGUACCGUCGUUGCAAUAGUAAUCCUGCUCAGUACGAGAGGAACCGCAGGUUCAGACAUUUGGUGCGUGUGCUUUGCUGAAGAGCCACUGGUGCAAAGCUACUAUCUGUGGGAUUAUGACUGAAUGCCUCUAAGUCAGAAUCCUGCCUAAACGUAAUGAUACCGCAGCGCCACGGGACUGUGAUUGGCCUGGGAUAGCCGGUCAAACCCCUGGGGCCGGCCGGUGUGGAGAGCCGUUCGUGACUGGACCGGGGUGCGGCCGAAUGAGUGCCGCCCCUCUCUGGAGACGCACCGCAAGUUUGUGGAGAACCUGGUGCUAAAUGACUCGUAGACGAC
Sinocyclocheilus grahami is the source of this 382-nucleotide long non-coding RNA. RefSeq lists it as uncharacterized. The record is from RefSeq and is a predicted model, not a curated record. The transcript has 3 exons. Lineage: Eukaryota; Metazoa; Chordata; Actinopteri; Cypriniformes; Cyprinidae.